Molecule: microRNA precursor, 144 nt
Filed under: Gossypium hirsutum (cotton)
Lineage: Eukaryota; Viridiplantae; Streptophyta; Magnoliopsida; Malvales; Malvaceae
Description: MIR7502 microRNA precursor family
Rfam family: MIR7502 microRNA precursor family
Source: Rfam by way of RNAcentral
UUUCAAAAUUUUUCUCCAUUUCUAUUGUUAAAAAUAGGAAUGACUAACAGAAUAACUAGACAACUACAAAUGGCAUGCCAUGUGUACCUCAUGUCGAUGUACAGGGACUAGUUUUUAACGGUAAAAAUGGAUGAAAUUUAGCUA